UUGUGUUCUAUUUAUUCCCCACCAAUUCCUAUAUUUGAUUAUUUACUGUAUAAGUUUGUGUGUUUGUGGUGGAGGUAAAUCCUAGGAAAUUUAGAUGAGAAGAAAGCUUUAGCGAGGCGCUUGCCAAGUGCUUGGUGAAUCGUCUCAACCGGAUGUGGUUGUCGAUCUCGCAGAGUCGAGUCGAGUUUAGUCGUGGUAAGUCGAUCCAUUGUUUCCGAUAGUCGGAUGAAUGAUUAGUUUGUGUGGAUGUAUAAGGCUUGUGCUAUUAAAUUGAUUUAUGUUAUGUGAAUGAAAUUAUUUUCAUGAGUAUGUAUUAGUAUCAACAUAUAUUGGAGAUAGUUCUAUGUUUUAGUGGUCAUGUUACUUGAUAUUUAUUAACCAAUUCCGGUUGAAUGGAUGUAUAUGCAUAGUGUCAUUUGAGUAGUUCAUUUGCAAUAUGAACUUUAGUUUGAAGAUACAAACUCAUACGAAGUGAUUGUGUGCAUGGUUAUAAAGUAUACCAAUCUAUCUAAGUGAUUAAGUAGGUGGUUUUAGUUCUACUUUAAGGUAAGGUGUUAGAAUAUUUGAAGUACCAAGCACAUGAGAAUUGUAUGAGUUAACUAGGAGCUAACUUAAAAUUAUUACUGUUUGGACCACAUGUCUAGUUUUAGUUAUGCAGAUAUUUUAGGGAAGUAAAUCAUGAUUUCUAUAAAAGUGUUAUAUAGAAAAGUUAUAGCUAACUCCUUUAUCUUGCUUGUGCUAAAAUUUCAUGACCAUAAGUUUAGUAGUUUAGGAGUUAUGAUUUUUCAAAGUACAGUAUCAGAAUCUGCCCAGAUUCAGUACUGAUUUCGAAAAUGACCUUGUUUGCCUAAAUUAAACUAAGAAUCAGCCCUUAGUAAUUAUAGAAGAAUUGUAAUACUUUUCUUAAGCUUUCAAACAAAAUUUGGAUCACCCAUUUUGGUGAUCUAUAAGUUAAGUUACAGCUGUUUGAAGUGCGAUCUCUGAAUCUGUCCAAAUUUGGACAGCAGAGCCUUUCUCAUGUUUUCUGACCUUGAUAUAUAUUGAAUUAACCUGGGAUGUUUAAAUAUGAAUUGUAGAUAAUUCAAUUAGCCUUCUAAAAAGUCUAGGAUCACCUAUUUUGGAUGCCUAAAACUCCAGAUAUAGAUUUUUGAAGUGAGUAGUCGAUUUCUGUCCAAAUCUGGACAGAAUUUAUGUUUAGUUCUGUUUGAGCUUUCUAAAGGUCAAAUCUUGUUGUGAUGAUAAUACCAAAAUUAUAGAGGACUUUAUAAGCUUUCCAAAAAGUCUUAGUUUACUAUUUUUUGGAUGAAUAUUGUGUAAGUUAUGAAUAAAACAACUAGUUGUUGUUCUGCUGUCCAAAUUCAGCAAAUAUGAAAUGAUUACUUGGAGUUUCUUUUGUGAGGAUACCUAUAUUUGGUUAGUUCUUGUCUUGAUUAAUGAAGUCUUGUAGUGGCAAAUGGUCUUUUGUGAGGAUACCUAUAUUUGGUUAGUUCUUGUCUUGAUUAAUGAAGUCUUGUAGUGGCAAAUGUUUGUUUCUUUUAUUUCUUAAUGCUUGCUUUAGACUUAGCAUUUUGGAGAAGGAAGUAAAUGCCUUGGUGAAUGUAUUUGAGUAGUGACUAUUUAGGCCUUGUAUGUGCAUAAUGAAAUAGUAAAGCAAGUAGUAAAAUUUAGCACUUCUCUCGUCUAUCCGUGAUGUUACCCUUUAUUGCUUAUAGUCUUACAAAUGUCUAUGAUCUUGAUAAUGUUUACUUGCUUGAUCGAAUGGUGUAAUAAUUUGUUUGGUCGAUGUGUUAUGCCUAAUAGGCUAGAUUAGUAGUUCUAAGAACUAGUUGAAAUACUUCUAUUCAUAAACCUAAAUUAAGUAUCCGAAAUUGAUAAGUCUACGAGUAGUAACCUAUCGAUGUUAUGCUUUAGCUUAAGGCUUGUGUUUAGUUAUGUUGCCUAAUGUUUGAAUUAGGUCCGAUUAACUCGAGGAUCAUAAUUGUGUAGAUUUUCUCUCAUGUUUGAUUAUGUAUGUUGGUGAGAUCUUGCCUGUAAUAUUGAGUUUUCUUCCUUGUGACAUUGUUUAGCCUUAUUAUUCCUUCCUAUGUUCAUACAUGUGCAUUAUGCAUAUCAUUUAGGUACGCUAAUUGAUCACGUGAUGUGGAGGACAAGAGCUGGAUUUGUCUCAUGGUGAUGCUGAUGAAUAAACCUGAAGAUUGAUGAUCUGAUCGAGUGCCAGAAUAGGAGAUGCUCGCCAAGCAAGCAUCAUCUAACAACACUAACCUAGUGUUAUCCUAGGCAAGCCCCGGUCAUUUGCCC
Molecule: long non-coding RNA, 2298 nt
Filed under: Zea mays
Lineage: Eukaryota; Viridiplantae; Streptophyta; Magnoliopsida; Poales; Poaceae
Description: long non-coding RNA (ZMAY_LNC004780)
Source: RNAcentral